GCCCUUGGGAUAGCCCAGUUGGUAAAGCACAAGACUCUUAAUCUCAGUGUUAUGAGUUCGAGCCCCGUGUUGGGCG
Non-coding RNA from Podarcis lilfordi (Lilford's wall lizard), 76 nucleotides. NCBI's taxonomy places the organism in Eukaryota, Metazoa, Chordata, Lepidosauria, Squamata, Lacertidae. The record is from the annotation of a GenBank genome assembly.